RNAcentral lists this ribosomal RNA (354 nucleotides) under uncultured microorganism. Its description in RNAcentral is "bacterial SSU rRNA". It matches the Rfam family "Archaeal small subunit ribosomal RNA", at positions 330 to 638 of the family's 1478-position model. The record is from RNAcentral.
GUGCAGCAGUCGCGAAACCUUCGCAAUGCAGGAAACUGCGACGAGGGAACUCCAAGUGCCUACGCUCAGCGUAGGCUGUUCUCAAGCCUAGAAAGCUUGAGGAGUAAGGGCUGGGUAAGACGGGUGCCAUCUGUGGUAGCAGUCAAUAGAUUCGAUUUGUUACUGCAAGGCAUAAGCCGCCGCGGUAAUACCCGCAGCCCAAGUGGUGGCCGCUUUUAUGGGCCUAAAGCGUCCGUAGCCGGCCCGGUAAAUGCCUGGGGUAAAUCGUGGAGCCCAACUUCACGAAUUCCGGGUAGACUGCCGAGCUCGGGACCGGAAGAGGGGAGAGGGUACUUCAGGGGGUAGGGGUGAAAA